UUACCAACGGAUUACUUUGGAUAUCUCAAAAACUAAAACCCUCGAGAACACCAUCUCUCCUUACAGGUCAAAGCUGCACUCUGGAUCACCUACAAUAAAUUCACAACUAUUUUGAUAAUCGUAUAGAAAUAACAUGAAAAGGUGAGAAAAAGGAAUUAAGAAACAGGUAGAGAGGAGGAGAGGCAAUGAGUUGGGUGCAUAAUGGCAUCUUAACAUCUCGAACGGAGUGAGGAGAGAGGAAGUGAUGGAGGGCAGGAUGAAGUGUAAGACCUUUCAU
This is a long non-coding RNA of Monopterus albus (swamp eel), 277 nucleotides long. RefSeq lists it as uncharacterized. Lineage: Eukaryota; Metazoa; Chordata; Actinopteri; Synbranchiformes; Synbranchidae. The record is from RefSeq and is a predicted model, not a curated record. The transcript has 3 exons.